UGUCCCAGCAGCCGCGGUAAUACAGAGGGUGCGAGCGUUAAUCGGAUUUACUGGGCGUAAAGCGUGCGUAGGCGGCUGAUUAAGUCGGAUGUGAAAUCCCUGAGCUUAACUUAGGAAUUGCAUUCGGUACUGGUCAGCUAGAGUAUGGGAGAGGAUGGUAGAAUUCCAGGUGUAGCGGUGAAAUGCGUAGAGAUCUGGAGGAAUACCGAUGGCGAAGGCAGCCAUCUGGCCUAAUACUGACGCUGAGGUACGAAAGCAUGGGGAGCAAACAGGAUUAGAUACCCUGGUAGUCCAUGCCGUAAACGAUGUCUACUAGCCGUUGGGGCCUUUGAGGCUUUAGUGGCGCAGCUAACGCGAUAAGCAGACCGCCUGGGGAGUACGGUCGCAAGACUAAAACUCAAAUGAAUUGACGGGGGCCCGCACAAGCGGUGGAGCAUGUGGUUUAAUUCGAUGCAACGCGAAGAACCUUACCUGGCCUUGACAUACUAGAAACUUUCCAGAGAUGGAUUGGUGCCUUCGGGAAUCUAGAUACAGGUGCUGCAUGGCUGUCGUCAGCUCGUGUCGUGAGAUGUUGGGUUAAGUCCCGCAACGAGCGCAACCCUUUUCCUUACUUGCCA
RNAcentral lists this ribosomal RNA (617 nucleotides) under uncultured bacterium. RNAcentral describes it as "bacterial SSU rRNA". It matches the Rfam family "Bacterial small subunit ribosomal RNA", at positions 504 to 1120 of the family's 1533-position model. The record is from RNAcentral.